CGAAGGGGGCUAGCGUUGUUCGGAAUUACUGGGCGUAAAGCGCACGUAGGCGGAUAUUUAAGUCGGGGGGUGAAAUCCCGGGGGCUCAACCCCGGAACUGCCUUCGAUACUGGGUAUCUUGAGUUUCGGAAGAGGUGAGUGGAAUUGCGAGUGUAGAGGUGAAAUUCGUAGAUAUUCGCAGGAACACCAGUGGCGAAGGCGGCUCACUGGUCCGAUACUGACGCUGAGGUGCGAAAGCGUGGGGGAGCAAACAGGAUU
RNAcentral lists this ribosomal RNA (258 nucleotides) under uncultured bacterium. RNAcentral's name for it is "partial 16S ribosomal RNA". It matches the Rfam family "Bacterial small subunit ribosomal RNA", at positions 526 to 779 of the family's 1533-position model. The record is from RNAcentral.